RNAcentral lists this unclassified non-coding RNA (261 nucleotides) under plant metagenome. RNAcentral describes it as "partial contains small subunit ribosomal RNA, internal transcribed spacer 1, and 5.8S ribosomal RNA". The stretch from base 213 to 261 matches the Rfam family "5.8S ribosomal RNA", at positions 1 to 49 of the family's 154-position model. The record is from RNAcentral.
UUUCCGUAGGUGAACCUGCGGAAGGAUCAUUAUUGAAUGAAACACUUCUGGCUUUAUGCUGUUGUGCUGGCCCUUUGGGCAAUGUGCACACGGCUCUGGUCACUUGUUUCUUCUGUUCCACCUGUGCACUGCCUGUAGACACGCUGUGUCUAUGAUAUUUGUUAACACACAACAAUGUUAGUUGGCAUGUUAUAUAUAAUAAUAAAAUAUACAACUUUCAACAACGGAUCUCUUGGCUCUCGCAUCGAUAAAGAACGCAGC